Non-coding RNA from Cordylochernes scorpioides, 73 nucleotides. The record is from the annotation of a GenBank genome assembly. Lineage: Eukaryota; Metazoa; Arthropoda; Arachnida; Pseudoscorpiones; Chernetidae.
UCCAGGGUAGCCUAGUGGACAUGGCAUCUGCCCGGUAAGUGGAAGGUCUUAGGUUCGAUUCCCGCCCCUGGAC